RNAcentral lists this ribosomal RNA (253 nucleotides) under uncultured bacterium. RNAcentral's name for it is "partial 16S ribosomal RNA". It matches the Rfam family "Bacterial small subunit ribosomal RNA", at positions 524 to 776 of the family's 1533-position model. The record is from RNAcentral.
UACGGGGGGUGCAAGCGUUGUUCGGAAUUACUGGGCGUAAAGGGCUCGUAGGCGGCCAACUAAGUCAGACGUGAAAUCCCUCGGCUUAACCGGGGAACUGCGUCGGAUACUGGAUGGCUUGAGAUUGGGAGAGGGAUGCGGAAUUCCAGGUGUAGCGGUGAAAUGCGUAGAUAUCUGGAGGAACACCGGUGGCGAAGGCGGCAUGCUGGACCAACACUGACGCUGAGGAGCGAAAGCCAGGGGAGCAAACGGG